Zonotrichia leucophrys gambelii is the source of this 1159-nucleotide long non-coding RNA. RefSeq lists it as uncharacterized. The transcript is spliced from 2 exons. Lineage: Eukaryota; Metazoa; Chordata; Aves; Passeriformes; Passerellidae. The record is from RefSeq and is a predicted model, not a curated record.
AGAGACGCUCCUAGCCGCCGUAACGCUUACUUGGCGUGCCCCACAGCGUCAUCCAAACGCUCCUGGCACUCUGUUAGCCUUGCUGCUGUGAGCACUGCCUUGGGGAGCCUGUUCAGUGCACUCUCCGAGUGAAAAGCCUUUUCCUGAUACCCUGCCCUGCCCCAGGCGUUCCCUCAGGCCCUGUCCCCGGCCAUAGGGCAGAGAUCAGUGCGUGCCCUGCGCUGCCCCUCGGGAGCGCGCUGCAGCCCGCAGUGAGCUCGUCCUUCAGUCUCCUGCAGGCUGAGCUGGCCGAAUGCCCUCGGCCGCCCCUGCUGUGCCCGAGGGACGGCACCGGGCCAGGAGCGCUGGCACCUCCCGGGAGCGCGGCGGGGGCGGGCCGUGCACCGGGCAGCCCUCGGCUGGCCGUGAUUAACGCUCAUUAGCUGUUGUCCCUGGGCUCGAUACCGCCCGCCCCCACCGCCCGUGCCGCUUGUCGCCGGACUGACCCGUGAGCUCGAGUCCUGGGUCGCCCCCCGCGGGACACGGGAUGGAAAAUGUCAAAUCCACUCGCGGAGUUGUUUGUGCAGGGCUGGAGUGCCGUGCCUGAUGCUUCGGGAGCCCAAGAAGGUGUGAGAGGAGUGUCAAAAGCACGAGCGGAACCUCCUGCAUGAGGGAAAAGAGCGCAGGCAAUAUCAGCACUAACACCGCGGCAGCCGAAGUACCGAGGGAAACCUCGGAAUCACCACACCAUUUGCAGCUAACAAUUUCACCUGUAUAAACACGGCAUCCUAAACACAGACCUUCGUCACAGUAAAAUCACAGAAAGGGUCCUAAAUGAACUUGGAAUUAAUGUGACUGAUAUGCAGAAGUGUGGAAGGAAUUAAAAAGGGAUGUAAGGGUGCAAAAAAUGCUUGGAGGAAAACAUGAGAAAGAAAAAUACCACUAAAGAAAAAGCAAGCACCACCAACCAGCAAAUAAAGAAAGUACAAAUAACGGGAAAGAGCACAAUUAUGAAGGUAUAUUAAUUAGAAUAUUGAAAACAUAUUCAUAAAGAACUAGUAUCAUGCACAUUGUCAUGUAAAAGUUACAAAUGUAAAGGAAGAACUAGCUUAAGUAUAAAGAAAUCACGUUUUAAGAAAAAAUUAGUUUUCAUAUUAAAAAAUUUCAAUACUUUUUAAAA